This 65-nucleotide transfer RNA is filed under the name Dipodomys ordii (Ord's kangaroo rat). It matches the Rfam family "tRNA". From Rfam's summary of the family: Transfer RNA (tRNA) molecules are approximately 80 nucleotides in length. Their secondary structure includes four short double-helical elements and three loops (D, anti-codon, and T loops). Lineage: Eukaryota; Metazoa; Chordata; Mammalia; Rodentia; Heteromyidae. The record is from Rfam by way of RNAcentral.
GGUGGCUCAAUGGUAGAGUGCUUGCCUUGCAUGCAUGAGGCCCUGGGUUCAAAUCCUCAGCACCA